Cucumis melo (muskmelon) is the source of this 380-nucleotide long non-coding RNA. RefSeq lists it as uncharacterized. The record is from RefSeq and is a predicted model, not a curated record. The transcript is spliced from 2 exons. NCBI's taxonomy places the organism in Eukaryota, Viridiplantae, Streptophyta, Magnoliopsida, Cucurbitales, Cucurbitaceae.
AUAGUUGUGGCCGGUGGCGGGCAACAGUUGGUUGGGUCGGCACCAGGUGGCAGGUCUGGCGGACCACAUUUGCUGAUGUUGGGGGUUUGGAUGGGAGCAGCGAGAGCAAAAUGGGGACUUUGGGAGAGAGUGGAAGAGCCGUAGAGACCGGGUAUGUUCAGGAAGAAGAUUUGUGGGGUUGGACUUUUCUUCGACUUUAUCUGGUUCAACACUCAACUUUGUAAGAAAUCUCUCUGAUAGAUUGGGGACUUUUUUUCUUCCUCCAACGUGCGCAAAUAAAAGGUUGAAAAAAAAAAUCAAUUAUUACUUUAUUAAUAUGUAGUCAUCUUGUACGAAUAUAUAAUAAUUACAUAGUCAUUUAUUUCAUCGCAUUAAAGGAA